UUUGGAGAUCUCGGCCUAUUGAGAUCCAGCUGCUGUAUUUGCGCUUUCCUCUUCUCUCGAUCACUCGCGCGGCGGUUCAUGGCGUCUCCCUUCUCUCCAGGGCUUCUCCUCCUACGCCUAUUGAGAACAGCGCGAUCUCGGCAUCACCCUCUUCCCUCCUCCUCCUCCUCCCCCUCCUAUUUCCCUCGCCGACGCUCUGCGCUUCUUGAAGCUUCCGUUAAUCUCGAUCUCGGCGGCCGCGAUGGCGGUUUCCUCUCCUCCUCGAGGGCUACCAUGCCUCUCAUAUCGCCAUCGGUUUAUAGGGUUUUCUUCUCGACUCGGACCUCGGAGCUCGACGAAGCGCAGGGACCGGCUGUCAUAGAUUACCGGUCUCUUCUGUCAGAGGAUGAGUUUCAUAGGUUGGCAGAUGCUACGAUACACGAUUUGCAAGAAAAAUUCGAGGAGUAUGGUGACUCUGUCCAAAUAGAUGGUUAUGAUAUAGACUACGGGAAUCAGGUUUUGACAUUGAAGCUAGGGAGUUUGGGCACAUAUGUUAUAAACAAGCAAACUCCAAACAGACAAAUCUGGAUGUCUUCACCAGUAAGAUAACAGAUAUGAAGGUGGAAAAGACCAAAGGGAGAAACUACAUGGAUUUGAAAAGUUCCUUUCAUGUUGUUUGCAAGUCCAAGAGGGGAAGGAAAGUUGAUUCUUUCUAAAUGAACUUUCUUCUACCAGUGUUUGCUAAGUAGCUUUGCCAGAUUGUUUUGUUUUGUAUGGCAAAGGAAUAAAGUGGGCCAGCAAGGUUUGAUUGGGAUGUGGCAACGAAGUCGUGGAUAUAUAGGCGGAAUAAAGUGAAUCUUUUGCAACUUCUGGAAGAAGAACUGGGGCAGCUAUGUGGUAAACCCAUUGAUCUUUCUUGAGUCAACAAUAUUUACCCUGAAAACGAGCAUAAAUUUGAUCGACUUUUCUGGCAAUAGACGCACUUGUAAAACAAAAAAAGGUCUCGACUUUUUUGAGUUAAAAAUUUUUUAUUUUUUUGGUUCAACUAGUCAAUCAAAUGUAUAUUGACAUGGUCAGCAGCCUGCAUUGUUAUCAUUUGGCAGCAAACAAGUUGUCAGCUAUCAUACUUGGGAGUAGGAAGUCAUGUCCAGCGGUACUUUAAAUGAUGAUGGGAAAACUAAUUCUGAUUUUUGUUCAUCCAAUGCUGUAAGGCCCAAGUGGCUUGAUGUUGU
Molecule: RNA transcript, 1211 nt
Organism: Phoenix dactylifera (date palm)
Lineage: Eukaryota; Viridiplantae; Streptophyta; Magnoliopsida; Arecales; Arecaceae
Gene: FH
Gene name: frataxin-like protein
Source: RefSeq, a predicted model, not a curated record